UGGGGAAUAUUGCACAAUGGGCGGAAGCCUGAUGCAGCAACGCCGCGUGAGUGAUGAAGGCCUUCGGGUUGUAAAGCUCUGUCUUUUGGGACGAUAAUGACGGUACCAAAGGAGGAAGCCACGGCUAACUACGUGCCAGCAGCCGCGGUAAUACGUAGGUGGCAAGCGUUGUCCGGAUUUACUGGGCGUAAAGGAUGCGUAGGCGGAUUUUUAAGUGAGAUGUGAAAUACCCGGGCUUAACUUGGGUGCUGCAUUUCAAACUGGGAAUCUAGAGUGCGGGAGGGGAGAAUGGAAUUCCUAGUGUAGCGGUGAAAUGCGUAGAGAUUAGGAAGAACACCAGUGGCGAAGGCGAUUCUCUGGACCGUAACUGACGCUGAGGCAUGAAAGCGUGGGUAGCAAACAGGAUUAGAUACCCUGGUAGUCCACGCCGUAAACGAUGAGUACUAGGUGUA
This 452-nucleotide ribosomal RNA is filed under the name uncultured bacterium. RNAcentral describes it as "partial 16S ribosomal RNA". It matches the Rfam family "Bacterial small subunit ribosomal RNA", at positions 355 to 824 of the family's 1533-position model. The record is from RNAcentral.